This 434-nucleotide ribosomal RNA is filed under the name uncultured bacterium. RNAcentral's name for it is "bacterial SSU rRNA". It matches the Rfam family "Bacterial small subunit ribosomal RNA", at positions 917 to 1350 of the family's 1533-position model. The record is from RNAcentral.
GGGCCCGCACAAGCGGUGGAGUAUGUGGUUUAAUUCGAUGCAACGCGAAGAACCUUACCAGGGUUUGACAUCCUGCGAAUCUCUUGGAAACGAGAGAGUGCCUUCGGGAACGCAGUGACAGGUGGUGCAUGGCUGUCGUCAGCUCGUGUCGUGAGAUGUUGGGUUAAGUCCUAUAACGAGCGCAACCCCUGUUGUUAGUUGCCAGCGAGUAAUGUCGGGAACUCUAGCAAGACUGCCAGUGCAAACUGUGAGGAAGGUGGGGAUGACGUCAAAUCAUCACGGCCCUUACGUCCUGGGCUACACACGUGCUACAAUGCUACGGACAAAGGGCUGCAAGUUCGCGAGGACAAGCAAAUCCCAUAAACCGUGGCUCAGUUCAGAUCGUAGGCUGCAACUCGCCUACGUGAAGGCGGAAUCGCUAGUAAUCGCAGGUC